UACGUAGGGUGCGAGCGUUGUCCGGAAUUAUUGGGCGUAAAGAGCUCGUAGGCGGUGUGUCGCGUCGGCCGUGAAAACCUAGGGCUCAACCCUGGGCCUGCAGCCGAUACGGGCAAGCUAGAAUUCGGUAGGGGAGACUGGAAUUCCUGGUGUAGCGGUGAAAUGCGCAGAUAUCAGGAGGAACACCGGUGGCGAAGGCGGGUCUCUGGGCCGAUAUUGACGCUGAGGAGCGAAAGCGUGGGGAGCGAACAGG
RNAcentral lists this ribosomal RNA (253 nucleotides) under uncultured bacterium. RNAcentral describes it as "partial 16S ribosomal RNA". It matches the Rfam family "Bacterial small subunit ribosomal RNA", at positions 524 to 776 of the family's 1533-position model. The record is from RNAcentral.